GUGGCGAACGGGUGAGUAAUGCAUGGGUAAUCUGCCCCUAAGUUGGGAAUAACCUGUCGAAAGGCAGGCUAAUACCGAAUGUGAUUAUCUCUUCAUAAGAAGGGAUAAUUAAAGGGCUGAAAAGCCCGCUUAGGGAGGAGCUUAUGUCUGAUUAGCUAGUUGGUAGGGUAAUGGCCUACCAAGGCAAAGAUCAGUAGCUGGCCUGAGAGGGUGGUCAGCCACACUGGAACUGAGACACGGUCCAGACUCCUACGGGAGGCAGCAGUGGGGAAUAUUGCGCAAUGGGCGAAAGCCUGACGCAGCAACGCCGCGUGGGCGAUGAAGGUUUUCGGAUCGUAAAGCCCUUUUUGAGGGAACGAUAAUGACGGUACCCUCAGAAUAAGCCUCGGCUAACUCCGUGCCAGCAGCCGCGGUAAGACGGAUGAGGCGAGCGUUAUUCGGAUUUAUUGGGCAUACAGCGUGUUCAGGCGGAAAU
Molecule: ribosomal RNA, 475 nt
Filed under: uncultured bacterium
Lineage: Bacteria
Description: bacterial SSU rRNA
Rfam family: Bacterial small subunit ribosomal RNA
Source: RNAcentral